Molecule: ribosomal RNA, 921 nt
Filed under: Triticum aestivum (bread wheat)
Lineage: Eukaryota; Viridiplantae; Streptophyta; Magnoliopsida; Poales; Poaceae
Description: partial small subunit ribosomal RNA
Source: RNAcentral
AUGUCCUUGGAAAAUCCACAGAUGGAUAUAAGACGGGCAAAUAACACAGAGAUCAUGUUGACGAAAAUCAAAAUGCCACUCUCCGAAAUGAUGAGUGCUGCUCUGGCCUUGGACGAUUCAGUUUUAGACGCUGAUCAGGUUGAAAAUCUCAUAAAGUUUUGCCCAACAAAAGAGGAAAUGGAGCUUCUAAAGAACUUUACAGGAGACAAGGAAACUCUUGGAAAGUGUGAACAGUUCUUUCUAGAAUUGAUGAAGGUGCCGAGGAUUGAAUCUAAGUUUAGGAUAUUUGCUUUCAAGAUUCAGUUUCAGACACAGAUUAGGGAUGUUAGAAAGAAUUUGCUGACCGUGGCAUCGGCUUGUGAGGAGCUCAGAGGCUCUGAGAAGCUGAAGGUGAUCAUGAAGAACAUUCUGUUAAUUGGGAACACAUUAAAUGAAGGGACACCAAGAGGCCAGGCUGUUGGUUUCCGCUUGGAUAGUAUCCUAAAACUUGUAGAGACCCGUGCAACCAGCAGUAGAACAACACUAAUGCACUUUCUUUGCAAGUCCCUUGCAGGAAAGUCACCAGAACUACUGGAUUUUCAUGAGGAUUUAGUUAGCUUGGAAGCUGCUUCGAAGUUGCAAUUGAAAGCAUUGGCGGAGGAACAGCAGGCAGUUGUAAAAGGGCUAGAGAAAGUUGAACAGGAACUAACUGCUUCAGAAAGUGAUGGGCCAGUUUCUGAUGUUUUUCGGAAGACUUUAAAGGAGUUCCUUGAUGAUUCUGGUGCUGAUGUACGUGCCCUAUCAGCACUCUACGCUGAUGUAGGUAGAAGUGCAGAUGCACUUUCCCUUUAUUUUGGAGAAGACCCUGCAAAAUACCCUUUUGAGCAAGGUAAUUUCCAUGCCAAAUUAUCAAUUGAAUCAGUCUAUGUGAGAUGGUUCUGA